UUUAAUAAAAUAUUAUAUUACCUGCUCAAUGAUAAAUUUAAAUAGCCGCGUUAGUGCUAAGGUAGCAAAAUAAUUAGUUUUUUAAUUGAAAAAUAGAAUGAAUGGUUUAAUAAAGUUAAAAUAAUUUUAUAAAAUUUUAUGAAAUUAAAAAUUAAGUGAAAAUUCUUAAUGAAAUUUUUUAGACGAGAAGACCCUAUGAAACUAAAAAUUAUUUUUUAAAAUUAUAAUAAAUAAUAUAUUUAUUUUUUGGGGAAAAAUUUAAUAUUAUUAUUUUUAAAUUUUUAAUAAAAAUAAAUUGAUCCUUUAGGAAUAAUGAAUCAGUUCCUCUAGGGAUAACAGCAUAAUGUUCAUAAAAGAUCAUAUUAAACUGAAUGUUUGUGACCUCGAUGUUGAAUUAAAUUUUUAUAUAUGUGCAGUAGCUUAUAUAAAGUAGUCUGUUCGACUAGUUAUAU
Molecule: ribosomal RNA, 452 nt
Filed under: Paracalanus indicus
Lineage: Eukaryota; Metazoa; Arthropoda; Copepoda; Calanoida; Paracalanidae
Description: partial 16S ribosomal RNA
Source: RNAcentral